RNAcentral lists this ribosomal RNA (253 nucleotides) under uncultured bacterium. RNAcentral describes it as "partial 16S ribosomal RNA". It matches the Rfam family "Bacterial small subunit ribosomal RNA", at positions 524 to 776 of the family's 1533-position model. The record is from RNAcentral.
UACAGAGGGUGCAAGCGUUGUUCGGAAUUAUUGGGCGUAAAGGGCGCGUAGGCGGUGCGGUAAGUCACCUGUGAAAUCCCCGGGCUUAACCUGGGAACUGCAUUCGGGACUGCAUUGCUAGAGUAUGGGAGAGGGAAGUGGAAUUUCAGGUGUAGCGGUGAAAUGCGUAGAUAUCUGAAGGAACAUCAGUGGCGAAAGCGACUUCCUGGGCCAAUACUGACGCUCAUGUGCGAAAGCGUGGGGAGCAAACAGG